GCGCUGUCUGUCCAGAUUCUAAAGUUGCAGAGAAACUGUUUAUAUAUGAGCAGAACUAAAGCUAGAGCAAUUAUCGUUAAUGUAACUGGAGAAACUGCGCAAAAAAACCUGAUAGAGAAUUUAAGAGAAAAUAACUUUUCUUUGCUUGUGGAUGAAAGUACGGACAAAUCUACCAUUAAUCAUUUGGCGUUGAUUGUAAGAACAGUGGACGAUAAUUUUCAAGUUGAAGACCGAUUUCUUACACUGAUACCCAUUGAAGAUGGAACAGCAACAGCGUUGCAUGGUAAAAUCAUAGAGUAUUUUACCGAGAAAAACAAACCUUACAAAACCAAUAUGUAAGGCUAUGCAUCUGAUGGUGCUAACGUUAUGUUUGGUGUCACCAGAGAAUGAUUUCUCUGGUAACACUUUUAAAAAAUGAUAUACCUCAUCUUUUUGCGAAAAAGUGCAUAUGACAUUCAUUUAGCCUGUGUGCCUCGUAUGCAUGCGAAAAAUUGCCAAAAGGUGUAGAAGACUUCUGUAGAGAAGUAUUUAAUCAUAUACAGAAUUCUCCAAAACGUAUAGGCGACUAUAAAACAUUUCAAGCGUUCGCAAACAUUAAGCCACACAAGCUGCUUCACCUUAGCCAAACAAGCUGGUUGUCACUUAUUCAGGUCGUUAACAGGAUUCUAGAACAAUUGCCGGCCAUAAAAAUAUAUUUUCAAGCGGCUGUCCAUGUGGAUCGCUUACUUUCUGCUUAAGCAAUUCUCAACAAGGCCCCCGAACCAACCACAGAGCUUUAUCUAGAACUUUUGAAAUUUGCGUUGCCCAUAUUUACAGAACUCAACAAAGAAAUGCAAUCGGAAACACCAAAAGUAUAUUUACUUUAUGAAAAAGUUUUAACUGCUUACACAAUAUUGUCGGAGUGCUUCGUUAAAGCCGAAUAUUUGGACCUCACGGUAUUUUAUCAGAUUUGA
Manduca sexta (tobacco hornworm) is the source of this 953-nucleotide RNA transcript. It is a transcript of the gene named general transcription factor II-I repeat domain-containing protein 2B, with no coding region annotated. The transcript has a single exon. The record is from RefSeq and is a predicted model, not a curated record. NCBI's taxonomy places the organism in Eukaryota, Metazoa, Arthropoda, Insecta, Lepidoptera, Sphingidae.